GUUAUAAACAUAUGGUGGAAUGGUGUUACACAUUGGCUGAUCAAGACCUUAAUUGUUUCAACAAGUGGGCGAAAGUAUAUAUGUGUGCAUGUUUAAACACCAAACCAUGUAGUUGUUAGUUAUGCAGAAAUAUUUGUUGAACCAUUAUUGUGUACUUGCUACUCUACUGUGAUAGAAGCAGAAGAACCAAUAUUCUACAGAAAAGAUGUGGCCCCUUUCUGCCACCAAGGAAAUGCCAGUCUUUUAGAAGAUAGGAAAUAAACAUACAUACAUGAACAGUCUGCAAAAUAUGUAUUGUCUUUAUCUGCCCUUCUCAUAUUUCUUCAGGCUAGAAAACCAUUUUCCUUUUUUGUGGCACCUGUGACACCCACAUGAUUUCCUCAAAUGCAAGGACAACAAAGAGGGAAACCUUGUCUAAUCAUUAAGGAGGAGUAAAGGAAAUUAAAAAGCAAUGGGGAGUUCUGUUGUGGCACAGUGGAAACAACCCGACUGGUAUCCAUGAGGAUUCGGGUUCAGUCUCAGGCCUCGCUCAGUGAGCUAAGGAUCCAGCAUUGCCAUGAGCUGUGGUGUAGGUUGCAGACACAGCUUAGAUCCGAGUUGCUAUUGCUGUGGCUCAGGCUGACAGCUGCAGCUCUGAUUCAAUCCCUAGCCUGGGAACUUCCAUAUACCACAGUGUGGCCCUUUAAAAAAAAAAAAAAGGCAAUUGAUUAAGAGGUAGAUCCUAUCAAGGGUGUCAGUGUUGUGUUAAAAUUUAUACAGAAAAAAAAAAAAAACACUGUCCUGAAAAAUACCUCAUAAUCAAACAUAUAACUACAACUUUAGAAUCUUUAAAUAUUUGAGCAAACGUUAGCCAAAAUUUAGGAGCCACUGUUCAAAAAAGCAAGUCCUCUUCUCAUAAAGGAUAUGAGGGUGUCAAAAAUAAAAUUUUGGGAGUUCCUGCUGUGGCACAGUGGGUCAAUGAUCUGGCUCAUCUGUAUGGCAUUGCCAGUGUGAUCCCUGGCCUGGUGUAGUGGGUUAAGGAAUCAGCGUUGCCACAGCUGUGGCAUAGGUUGCAAAUGCAGCUCUGAUUGGAUCCGUAGCCCGGGAACUUCCAUAUGCUGCAGGUGCAGCUGAAAAAGAAGGGGAAGGAGGAAGGGAGGGAGGGAGGGAAGGAAGUUCUGGAGUUCCAGUCAUGGCUCAGCAGUAAUGAUUCCGAAUAGUAUCCAUGAAGAAGGACACAGGUUCGAUCCCUGGCCUCGCUCAGUGGGUUAAGGGUCCAGCAUUGCAUGAACUGUGGUGUAGGUCACAGACGUGGCUCAGAUUUGGCAGGAUGUGGCUGUGGCAUAGGCUGGCUAGGGGUCUAAUUGGAGCUACAGCUGCCGGCCUACACCAGAGCCACAGCAAUGCAGGAUCCAAGCCAUGUCUGCAACCUAUACCAUAGCUCACGACAAUACCAGAUCCUUAACGCAGUGAGAGAGGCCAGGGAUCCAACCCACAACCUCAUGGUUCCUAGUCAGAUUCAUUUCCGCUGCACAAUGACAGGAACUCCCCAAUAAAGAACUCUAAUCGAAAGGAGAUUUGUCCCAGAUAUUGGCCUACUGUUUACACAGAAACCAAAUGACCAAAAAGUUCACUGAGUUAGGAUUUGUUCACACUCCUUUUUAAUGAGAGAAAACAGGCCCCUCAAAGGGCACAAUCCCACAGACUCACCAAGCUCUCACAAAGAAGCCCAAGAGUCCACACCCCAGAAAUAAGAACAAACCAGUAUUGAACCAAGUCUUAAAAACCACCUCCUGUCCCCAGCCCAGCCUGAUCCUUGAUUGGCUUGGAUCUCCCCCACUCCCCAUUCACUUAUCAGAGGAAAAGAGAACUUAUGUCUUAUGAGAGAUGCCGUCUAGAGUCUUCUCCUUCAAGUUACCCUGGAAUUGAUUAGUUUCAAUGUGCAGAACCAUUCAUUCACUCUGAUCUCAGGAUUCCAGGCCCACCACCAAGGCUGGCUGACUCUGGGCAAGUUGCUUAACUCUGCUCAUCCUUGGCUACCUGAUCUAAUUAAUGAGGAUGAUGGCAGAGCUCACUCACUGGUUGAUGUACCGUGAAAAUCAAGGGAGAUGAAAACAGCAGAGCUUAGUCUUAGCUUAGAGGUUAAGACCAUGGCCUCUAGAGAAUCCCGGCUGUCACUUACUGAGCAAUUUAGGGCAAGUUAACCUCUCUGUGUGUCUCUUAUUUUAUCUGUAAAAUGGAACUAAUAAUAGUGUCUACCUCAUAGGGUUGUUAUAAAUUAAAAGAGUUAAAAUUUAUAAAGCACCCAGAGUCGUUUCUGGCGGGAACUGUAUGCUGUAUACAGAUUGGUUAAAUAAACCCUAGUACUUGGCUCCUAAGGAAUGCUUCCGAAGUGCUCAUUGCUAUUGUCCUUAUAAUUUCAUGUCAGUGAUGGUCAUGACCACCACGGCCGCAACCACCAUGGCCGUGACCACCACCACCGUCAAUCUCUUAUCACCUUCCUCAACCCUACUCCAUUUGACCCUCUGUCUCUUUCCAUUCUUGAAAUUCCCUAUUCCCUUGACUCCUAGGAUCCCACUUGUGCUAGUUCUCCAGGCUGUUUCCUGCUCAUUUCUCCUCCUCCUUCUUUUUCAUGAACUUCCAUUUUUGGAGCACGUCUUACAUGCUAUGGUCUCCCAGGGUCCUAUCCUCAGCCUACUGUUCUUCUCAUUUGUGAGUGAUAUCAUCCAGUUUUGUUAUUCAAAUUACCCCCCAUAUGCUGAUGACAGCUCCUCAUUCCAGAUGUCAAAGCCAUUUCAGUAGUCCAGGCCCCUGAAAGUUCCAGAUGUGCCUACUUGGCUGCCUGCCGUGUCUCCAUCUGGUGGUCCCAGAUCACUCAGAAGGAAAUUCGUCAUCUUCCCUCUAAAUCGGCUCCUCCUCCUCCAUUUUAUAUAUCAUUUGUGAUGAUGUUGAUAUCCUGUCACUCAAGCUAGAAGAAUAAAUAUUGAUCUGGAUUCCAUAUUUGUACUUGAGCCUCACAUCCAAACCAUCACUUGUUCUGCCAAUUUUACCGGCUAGUAUUUCCCAGAUUGGUAUGUUCUUUCUCUUUGCAUUCCCACUGCCUUAAUUCUGCCUCCACCACCUCUCACUUUGACCUCUUAUGUAGUCUCCUUCUUGGCCUACCUUCUUCAAGCUCAUCUUCCAUCUAACUAUCCCAUUAAUGUUUCCAAAACACAAAAAUACUGCUGUUAUUCCCUGGAUUGAAGCCCCUCUGAGGCUCUCUCUUUUACAGGCCAAUGAUGACUCCCUAUUAUAGAAGUCAUAUUAUCUAUGCAGCCUCGUCUCCAGUCAUUGCAUCCUCAGACUUUUUUCACUGGAUCAAUGAGACUGGUCUUUAUCCAGAGCCACCAGAGUACACUCACUAUACUGGUAUCCACUGGUAUAACCAAUGUCUACUGGUCAUGCAAUAAUACUUGGCUCAGUCAUGACCCCUCCCAGAAGCUUCUCUCAUCCCCAUCACUCCUCUCUCUUUUGACAUACCAGUUGGAUUCUA
RNAcentral lists this long non-coding RNA (3511 nucleotides) under Sus scrofa (pig). RNAcentral's name for it is "lncRNA (ENSSSCG00030072286.1)". Lineage: Eukaryota; Metazoa; Chordata; Mammalia; Artiodactyla; Suidae. The record is from RNAcentral.